Molecule: unclassified non-coding RNA, 271 nt
Filed under: Hevea brasiliensis (rubber tree)
Lineage: Eukaryota; Viridiplantae; Streptophyta; Magnoliopsida; Malpighiales; Euphorbiaceae
Source: RNAcentral
UGAUGACUGGAUCAUACUUUCUUCUUCAAAAACUCAGUUUCUAGGUAGAAGAUGCUAUGAGAGAAAGAAAUCAGUGGGAAUUGGGAGAUUUUUGUUGCCAAAAUUUAAGUUUGAUCCUGUUAUAGUACAAUACAAUCAGAGGAAGAGUUUGACAAGGCUAUUUUGGAUGGGAUUUUUUUAUUGGGAAGCCUCUGUUUCAUCGAAAGAGGAAACAGAAAGUCAGAAACCAAAGGUAAAAUAAAAUGGCAAAACAAGGAAGGUAACAUGGUCA